RNAcentral lists this ribosomal RNA (453 nucleotides) under uncultured Alloprevotella sp. RNAcentral describes it as "bacterial SSU rRNA". It matches the Rfam family "Bacterial small subunit ribosomal RNA", at positions 341 to 792 of the family's 1533-position model. Lineage: Bacteria; Pseudomonadati; Bacteroidota; Bacteroidia; Bacteroidales; Prevotellaceae. The record is from RNAcentral.
ACGGAAGGCAGCAGUGAGGAAUAUUGGUCAAUGGGCGGAAGCCUGAACCAGCCAAGUCGCGUGAAGGAUGAAGGUAUUAUGUAUUGUAAACUUCUUUAGACGUAGAGAAAUAAGGGUGUCGUGACACUUGAUGCUAGUAUACGUAGAAUAAGGAUCGGCUAACUCCGUGCCAGCAGCCGCGGUAAUACGGAGGAUCCGAGCGUUAUCCGGAUUUAUUGGGUUUAAAGGGAGCGUAGGCGGAUUUUUAAGUCAGUGGUAAAAGCGUGUGGCUCAACCGUACCACGCCAUUGAAACUGGAAGUCUUGAGUGCACACAGGGAUGCUGGAAUUCGUCGUGUAGCGGUGAAAUGCUUAGAUAUGACGAAGAACUCCGAUCGCGAAGGCAGGUGUCCGGGGUGUAACUGACGCUGAGGCUCGAAAGUGCGGGUAUCAAACAGGAUUAGAUACCCUGGUA